AUUGAACGCUGGCGGCAGGCCUAACACAUGCAAGUCGAACGAGUCGCGGACGGGUUAGUUAUGUCUGUGAAUCUGCCUGGUGGAGGGGGAUAACUAAUGGACACGGUAGCUACUACCGCAUACCAUCGGAUGUGCCCAGUUGGGUUUAGCUAGUGGGGGGGGUAAAGGCUCACCUAGGCGACGAUCCCUAGCUGGUCUGAGAGGAUGACCAGCCACACUGGAACUGAGACACGGUCCAGACUCCUACGGGAGGCAGCAGUGGGGAAUAUUGGACAAUGGGCGAAAGCCUGAUCCAGCCAUGCCGCGUGUGUGAAGAAGGCCUUCGGGUCGUAAAGUACUUUCAGCGGAGAAGCGUUACCCACAGAGAAAGCAACGGCUAACUCCGUGCCAGCCGCCGCGGUAAUAC
This 406-nucleotide ribosomal RNA is filed under the name uncultured bacterium. Its description in RNAcentral is "partial 16S ribosomal RNA". It matches the Rfam family "Bacterial small subunit ribosomal RNA", at positions 30 to 526 of the family's 1533-position model. The record is from RNAcentral.